This 484-nucleotide ribosomal RNA is filed under the name uncultured bacterium. RNAcentral's name for it is "partial 16S ribosomal RNA". It matches the Rfam family "Bacterial small subunit ribosomal RNA", at positions 30 to 507 of the family's 1533-position model. The record is from RNAcentral.
AUUGAACGCUGGCGGCAGGCCUAACACAUGCAAGUCGAGCGGAUGAAGGGAGCUUGCUCCUGGAUUCAGCGGCGGACGGGUGAGUAACGCCUAGGAAUCUGCCUGGUAGUGGGGGAUAACGUCCGGAAACGGGCGCUAAUACCGCAUACGUCCUGAGGGAGAAAGUGGGGGAUCUUCGGACCUCACGCUAUCUGAUGAGCCUAGGUCGGAUUAGCUAGUUGGUGGGGUAAAGGCCUACCAAGGCGACGAUCCGUAACUGGUCUGAGAGGAUGAUCAGUCACACUGGAACUGAGACACGGUCCAGACUCCUACGGGAGGCAGCAGUGGGGAAUAUUGGACAAUGGGCGAAAGCCUGAUCCAGCCAUGCCGCGUGUGUGAAGAAGGUCUUCGGAUUGUAAAGCACUUUAAGUUGGGAGGAAGGACAGUAAGUUAAUACCUUGCUGUUUUGACGGUACCAACAGAAUAAGCACCGGCUAACUUCGUG